ACCUUGGCCUCCCAAAGUGUUGGGAUUACAGGUGUGAGCCACUGCACCUGGCCGGUCUCUGUCUUUUAGAACCUUAUGGUGAUGGAACACAGAGCAGGCACUUGCUGGCUAUUAGCUGACUGCCCAAAUGAAUGCACUAUCAGACACUGCAGGAAAAAGGAUAAAGAGAACACUUUCAAGUUUCUCUUUCUUCAGUUCUUUGCUACUCAUCUACUCUGUCUUUUAAUGGGCCUCUUCCACUUCCUCCUUCUGUGCCUCACCAUGGGUCACUGUGGUCAGGGAGACUCAGCUCUUUGGCCUAGUAUGUAAAUCUAAAAGCUGUGCAAUGGUUCUAUUUAAAUUGGAACAAUUCAUGCAGCCAGUCUUUACUGAACAUGUACGUGCCUAGGAAGUCUCAGGAAUGGGUAAGUGCUCCUGCUCCCACACAGUCUACAGACCUGGGUGCAAUGGUGAGAAAGACCUCAGUAAAGCAAAGGAAUUACGAAAGGGAGAGGGAAAACCAAGUUGAAUGAGUUGGAGACUCCAUAGAGAUGGGCUUCUAGAAUAAAAUGGCACUGACUUAGCUGAAGGACUGAAAAAGGAAGCUGAACUUGCAACAUGUGAGAACAUUUUGUGCAAAGGAGACAACCUGGAGCUCCAGAGGACCUACACUCAGUGAAUGGGCUUGGUCCUACAUCCAAAUAUACAUGAGGACAUGCAGAGAAAUGUUCAAGUAUAUAGACGUCAGCAGACAUCUGCAGAAAUAUUUUAAGCCAGCUUUUGAUUGCUGACCAACCUGUGGUACAGGUAACAGGACUCCUACUGGGUACCAAGUCAUUCACCUACAGGCCUACCUUUCCCCUCUCUUUGCUUCAACCCAGAAGACCUCAAGGCAAAUAAACUGAUUCCUGGAUCCUGAGUGGUUCCUGGUUCACGUGGAAGGACAUCUCUGAAGCUUCAACUCAGUGAUUUACUUCCCCAAACCUAUUCCUUUCAUCCUUACAAUGAAACCACCUGUGUAACAACCCGAUUCUUUGAACGUUUUCUGGGAGUCCAGAGCAAGCCGAAACUUUCAGUGAACAUCCUAAGGCAAUCUGUAUUGAACCAGGUUCACUCCAAAAACCCAGUUGGGGCCAUUUCUCAAGGAGCUCAGAACAACCCGAGGAAUGGAUUCAUGGGCUGUCCUAAAGUAGCCUUACUCACAGGUAUCAGAGAAUUCACUUGCUUCUAGGCCCUUGGAUUGCUUUAAUUCUUUCAAUUUUCUUUUGUUCAACAACAUAAAAAAUAUAUUCUACUUAUUGCAAUUUUUACAUGUCACAUUCUGAAUAUUAUCCUGUACCAGUGGCUUCUUGGUUGUUAUAUAACUUGUUUGGUAAAGUUAUGCUGACAGCUUUAAUGAGGCGAUGUCAUGUGAUGCACGAAUUUCCCCUGGUGCUGAAUGUGGACAUUAGCAACUCAGUAUCGUGUGUUAGGGCAGUGGAGAAUCAGGGUGUAUCUAAUAAAUUCCUUCAUGGAGCUCUCAUGCCAUUAAGCAGAA
This 1516-nucleotide long non-coding RNA is filed under the name Homo sapiens (human). RNAcentral's name for it is "HSALNT0301204". The record is from RNAcentral. Lineage: Eukaryota; Metazoa; Chordata; Mammalia; Primates; Hominidae.